ACGCUGUAGAGUCCCCCUGCAGACCAUGGCCAUGGCUUUGGCAGUCCCGGGCAGACACGGCGCUCCAGUCUUCACACACCUAAUAGCGGAUUGAAAGAGGGGGCUACCCGGAGAGGCUUUGCGCCGUUUGACACGAUUUUCCAGACUGGCAAAGGAACUGAACAUCUAUUCAAACGAAGGCUCUGCCAUCUGAUGCUUGGGUCAAAGAAGAAAACUGGCCUUUGUCUUCAGAGCACCAGGUGGAGCCACUGAAGAAACCUACCUGCACAUGUUGAGAGGCAGAGCCAAGCACUGUGUUUUUCAGAUGGACACUGGGAAAGCACCAGCAUUCUUUGCAUUCUUUUUCAAAAGACCUAAGACAGAACAUACUCAAGGUUGACAGAGCAGUUUUACCUCCCACCGUCUCCUCCUCAUCCCCUGAUCCAAUCAGAGAGACCUCUUCUUCUUUCUACCUCCCAGACAAAUAAAAAAGGAAAAAAUAAACAGGAAUUUCUUAUCAGUUAGCAGUUCUUCCUUUUAUUUUCUUCGUGCAACAUUUCUCCAUUUACCUCAGGGAU
This is a long non-coding RNA of Scomber scombrus (Atlantic mackerel), 557 nucleotides long. RefSeq lists it as uncharacterized. The record is from RefSeq and is a predicted model, not a curated record. The transcript has 3 exons. Lineage: Eukaryota; Metazoa; Chordata; Actinopteri; Scombriformes; Scombridae.